This 1130-nucleotide ribosomal RNA is filed under the name Triticum aestivum (bread wheat). Its description in RNAcentral is "partial small subunit ribosomal RNA". The record is from RNAcentral. Lineage: Eukaryota; Viridiplantae; Streptophyta; Magnoliopsida; Poales; Poaceae.
GACAUAGAUCAACAUAGAACAAGAAACUUGGAACAUAGUUUAUCGGACAGAUUGCAUCGAACCCAAAAGACGUUUUGUCGGAUUUUAUACUACAAAGAAAAUAAAAUGAGAUAAGGGGAGGUGGUUGGAGCUCAUCGCUUGCGGUUGGCAUCGCAGCGGCCCAUCUCCGUAUAUGCAUCUACGGCGGGAGGGUCGUCGUCGUCAUCUAUGUUGGUGGUGCCUCUCUCCGAUGCUGACAAAAUGUAGCUGGAGAGGCGGCGGAGGAGGCGUUGUUGCUCCUUCACGUGGCGGGCGACCUUGGUGGCGGUCGACUCCUCCCUCGCGAGGCGCUCGGACGCCUCGAGCUUGAGGCGGAGCAGCUUCGUGUUCUAGCACCGGAGUCACCUCAUGUCGGAAUCCGUCGUGGUCAGCAAGCGCCACAUGACCUUGCGGAGGAGCGCCUCCUCCGGGUCGACGGGGCUGGAGCAUGCCCACUGGCAGGAAGAGCCGGGCUCCGACGCAGUCGCUGCCCCGCUGUCGCUCGCAUCGAGCCGCCUUCGCCUUGGACUCCCAUGCGCGUUCGCACGAGAGCCGCGAGCACGAGCACCUACCGCUGCCAAGGCUUUGCUAGCGUCGGAGGGGAAGGGGAGACGUCCGCUCGGCUCCGGAUCUGGAGCGAUGCGGAGCGGAACGGGUGGGCGCGGCCCGCAUCCCACCGGCAGUGUGUGGAGGAACUGGGGGUGGACGCGAUCGAACUCGAGCUCCGGCCGGUGUCCAGGCGCGAGCUCCACCUCGUACAACGCGUCGCUACUGGAUCUGUCGUCCUCCUCCUCGUUCCAGUCCAUGGAAUCGCUCUUGCUGUCGAGUCCUGGCCAGACUUGGCCAUGGCUGAGGGCGGAUUUGGGAGGAAGCGGAGGAGACGAGGGAAGCGGAACAGACGAGUGGACCGACAAAAGUGAGGGUUUGACUCCGGUUCGUCCGAUGGGUUGGGGUAUUUGUGAGGGCAUUGGCGGGGAUGGCGUGAGCCCUAGCUGGCCGAUCCGACAUGGCGCCCGUGUCCAGGCCUGUCCGGAUGUCCUCAUAUCAGCCCCAGAUAGAGUAUGAGGAGUAACGAUCAGUCCGAUCAUUUGAAUGAGGUAUGGGAUAUCCGG